RNAcentral lists this ribosomal RNA (492 nucleotides) under uncultured bacterium. RNAcentral describes it as "partial 16S ribosomal RNA". It matches the Rfam family "Bacterial small subunit ribosomal RNA", at positions 29 to 507 of the family's 1533-position model. The record is from RNAcentral.
AGUGAACGCUGGCGGUAGGCCUAACACAUGCAAGUCGAACGGCAGCACAGUAAGAGCUUGCUCCUACGGGUGGCGAGUGGCGGACGGGUGAGGAAUACAUCGGAAUCUACUUUUUCGUGGGGGAUAACGUAGGGAAACUUACGCUAAUACCGCAUACGACCUACGGGUGAAAGCAGGGGAUCUUCGGACCUUGCGCGAUUGAAUGAGCCGAUGUCGGAUUAGCUAGUUGGCGGGGUAAAGGCCCACCAAGGCGACGAUCCGUAGCUGGUCUGAGAGGAUGAUCAGCCACACUGGAACUGAGACACGGUCCAGACUCCUACGGGAGGCAGCAGUGGGGAAUAUUGGACAAUGGGCGCAAGCCUGAUGCAGCCAUACCGCGUGGGUGAAGAAGGCCUUCGGGUUGUAAAGCCCUUUUGUUGGGAAAGAAAAACAGCAGGUUAAUACCCCGCUGUUCUGACGGUACCCAAAGAAUAAGCACCGGCUAACUUCGUG